GGCCUCGUGGCCUAAUGGAUAAGGCGUCGGACUUCGGAUCCGAAGAUUGCAGGUUCGAGUCCUGCCGGGGUCG
Non-coding RNA from Nippostrongylus brasiliensis, 73 nucleotides. The record is from Rfam. Lineage: Eukaryota; Metazoa; Nematoda; Chromadorea; Rhabditida; Heligmosomidae.